CCUACGGGUGGCAGCAGUGAGGAAUAUUGGUCAAUGGCCGGAAGGCUGAACCAGCCAUGCCGCGUGAAGGUCAGUGCCCUAUGGGCGUUAAACUUCUUUUGUGCGGGAGCAAUAAUGGUCACGUGUGGCCAGACGAGAGUACCGUACGAAUAAGCAUCGGCUAACUCCGUGCCAGCAGCCGCGGGAAUACGGGGGAUGCAAGCGUUCUCCGGAUUUAUUGGGUUUAAAGGGUGCGUAGGCUGUGAGGUAAGUCAUCGGUGAAAUGCCCCCGCUCAACGGGGUGAAGUGCCAUUGAUACUGCCUGGCUGGAAUGCGGAUGCGGUGGGAGGAAUGUGUGGUGUAGCGGUGAAAUGCAUAGAUAUCACACAGAACACCGAUUGCGAAGGCAUCUCACGAAUCCGCGAUUGACGCUGAUGCACGAAAGCGUGGGUAUCAAACAGGAUUAGAUACCCCAGUAGUC
This 460-nucleotide ribosomal RNA is filed under the name uncultured bacterium. RNAcentral's name for it is "partial 16S ribosomal RNA". It matches the Rfam family "Bacterial small subunit ribosomal RNA", at positions 338 to 795 of the family's 1533-position model. The record is from RNAcentral.